Molecule: ribosomal RNA, 468 nt
Filed under: uncultured bacterium
Lineage: Bacteria
Description: partial 16S ribosomal RNA
Rfam family: Bacterial small subunit ribosomal RNA
Source: RNAcentral
GACGAACGCUGGCGGCGUGCUUAACACAUGCAAGUCGAACGGAAAGGCCCUGCUUUUGUGGGGUGCUCGAGUGGCGAACGGGUGAGUAACACGUGAGUAACCUGCCCUUGACUUUGGGAUAACUUCAGGAAACUGGGGCUAAUACCGGAUAGGAGCUCCUGCUGCAUGGUGGGGGUUGGAAAGUUUCGGCGGUUGGGGAUGGACUCGCGGCUUAUCAGCUUGUUGGUGGGGUAGUGGCUUACCAAGGCUUUGACGGGUAGCCGGCCUGAGAGGGUGACCGGGCACAUUGGGACUGAGAGAGGGCCCAGACUCCUACGGGAGGCAGAAGUGGGGAAUAUGGCACAAUGGGCGGAAGCCUGAUGCAGAAGCGCCGCGUGCGGGAUGACGGCUUUCGGGUGGUAAACAGCUUUCGCCGGUGACGAAGCGUGAGUGACGGUAAUGGGUAAAGAAGCACCGGCUAACUACGUG